AUUCUGCCCAUGCGGGGAAGGAUGAGAAGCUUCGACUAAGGUUCGGCUCGAGCGUCAGCGAGAGAGAGUUGCCGCAGGCAACGACCCGAAGGGCGAAGCGCGCAGCGCUGAGUAAUCCUUCCCCCACCACCA
Molecule: small RNA, 132 nt
Filed under: Escherichia coli
Lineage: Bacteria; Pseudomonadati; Pseudomonadota; Gammaproteobacteria; Enterobacterales; Enterobacteriaceae
Description: RtT sRNA
Rfam family: RtT RNA
About the family: This family represents a bacterial cis-regulatory element known as RtT RNA. The exact function of RtT is unknown although it is thought that it may be involved in changing the cellular response in relation to amino acid starvation.
Source: RNAcentral